Molecule: long non-coding RNA, 313 nt
Filed under: Coccomyxa subellipsoidea
Lineage: Eukaryota; Viridiplantae; Chlorophyta; Trebouxiophyceae; Coccomyxaceae
Description: long non-coding RNA (CSUB_LNC000302)
Source: RNAcentral
UUCUUUCAAAUCCCUCCAUUGCAAUUCAUUCCCUUCUAGCAUCCCUUGUGCUAGACCAUGGAUGUCCUGCGGCAAUCGAUCCAAGGAAUUGGAUGUGCCCCUAGUGCAUAUGCAUGAUCAAGCAAAUAAAACAAUAAAGCGCAUCUCGCUCGCACACCUCUGGUAAUGAUGGGUCAUUGACAACAUCUCGAAGAUAUUGCUCGACGUCAGCAGUCUUCUGCAGUGUUAAGCUAGUCAUGCUGUUCCGAUGUAUUGAUCUGGUCCACUGUAUGUGCCCCCUACGCGAAGCUAAAUAGCACGAUAUACCUUUCUU